RNAcentral lists this ribosomal RNA (213 nucleotides) under uncultured Lactobacillus sp. Its description in RNAcentral is "partial 16S ribosomal RNA". It matches the Rfam family "Bacterial small subunit ribosomal RNA", at positions 149 to 355 of the family's 1533-position model. Lineage: Bacteria; Bacillati; Bacillota; Bacilli; Lactobacillales; Lactobacillaceae. The record is from RNAcentral.
CCUGGAAACAGAUGCUAAUACCGGAUAAUAACAGAUGAUGCCUAUCAACUGUUUAAAAGAUGGUUCUGCUAUCACUCUUGGAUGGACCUGCGGUGCGUUAGCUAGUUGGUAGGGUAACGGCCUACCAAGGCGAUGAUGCAUAGCCGAGUUGAGAGACUGAUCGGCCACAUUGGGACUGAGACACGGCCCAAACUCCUACGGGAGGCAGCAGUC